Molecule: ribosomal RNA, 433 nt
Filed under: uncultured bacterium
Lineage: Bacteria
Description: partial 16S ribosomal RNA
Rfam family: Bacterial small subunit ribosomal RNA
Source: RNAcentral
AACGAACGCUGGCGGCAUGCCUAACACAUGCAAGUCGAACGAGACCUUCGGGUCUAGUGGCGCACGGGUGCGUAACGCGUGGGAACCUUCCCUUAGGUUCGGAAUAACUCCCCGAAAGGGGUGCUAAUACCGGAUAAUGUCUUCGGCCCAAAGAUUUAUCGCCUUUGGAUGGGCCCGCGUUGGAUUAGCUAGUUGGUAGGGUAAAAGCCUACCAAGGCGACGAUCCAUAGCUGGUCUGAGAGGAUGAUCAGCCACACUGGGACUGAGACACGGCCCAGACUCCUACGGGAGGCAGCAGUGGGGAAUAUUGGACAAUGGGCGAAAGCCUGAUCCAGCAAUGCCGCGUGAGUGAUGAAGGCCUUAGGGUUGUAAAGCUCUUUUACCCGGGAUGAUAAUGACAGUACCGGGAGAAUAAGCUCCGGCUAACUCCGUG